Molecule: non-coding RNA, 2448 nt
Organism: Phascolarctos cinereus (koala)
Lineage: Eukaryota; Metazoa; Chordata; Mammalia; Diprotodontia; Phascolarctidae
Source: RefSeq, a predicted model, not a curated record
UGAACACUCAGGUCUUCCUGACUCCAGGCCCAGCGUUCUAUGUACUGCAACCACUUAGCUGCCUAGAUUUAAAGUCACUUUGGGAGAAAUACCACCAGCAGCAGAGAGAACCAUGAAAGCCUCAUGCAGAAGAUAAUGCUUGAACUAAGUGCUGCUCAGGAUGCUAAGAGACAGAGGUGAUGGGAGAAUGCCUUCCAUGACACAUAGAUUUGACAUUUAUUAAGUAUUUACUAUGUCCCAAGCACUGUGCUAAGUUCUAGUUAUACAAAUACAAGCAAAAAAAAAAAAGUCCUUGCCCUAAAGGUAAUGAGGGAAAACAGCACAAACAUGGGAGCUGUAAAAGUGAGGUGAGAGCACCCUGUGGGUACAGAAGCAGAGCCAGGAGAGAGUGAGCCUGGACGGACAGACACUUCCUGAAGUAGUGCUCCCAGUCAGGAAUUCACCAAUUAACAGCUAAGUGGUACAGCAGGUAGAGCACUGGAUGUGCAGUCAUGAAGACCUGAAUUCAAACCUGGUGUGUGAUCUUAAGUCACUUAACCUUGGUCUGCCUCAGUUUCCUCAACUGUAAAAUGGGGAUGAUAAUAGCACCUACCCUCCCAGGUUUGUUAGGAGCAAAUGAGGUAUUUGUUGUGAGAAAUAAAAGACUUUCAACCUCUUUAAUAAAAAGUCUUUGAGACACCAGUCUUGGGAACCGAGUUUGGGGUCUUCUUUACAAUAAUUUAGGGGCUCUCCGGGAUCCAAGCGACCAUCGAGAAGGGUGAGAUCUGAGUGGUCUGGGAAGAGCGCUCUCGUUGAUUUUAACGGUCCGGUUCUUAGAUUUCGCUUUCCUUGGGGCUCGCGAAAUCUCGAAGAUGGCGACGGUUGAUGCUGAGAGAGGUUGAACUGGGGCAGGGAAAAACAAAAACAACAACGGAAAACGGCCGAGGAUCACUCAAGUGGAUAUAUAUCUAACAAAGGAUUGUCAUCCAUGUCUUGCCCACCAUGGUUGUACUCCCGGGCUAUGUCUUCUUUUCUCUCUGUACACUAUCUUGGUUCUCUUUAUAGCUUUGGUGAGUGCAAGUACCAUCCCAGUGCAGAUGACCUCCAUAUCCAGCUGCACAUUUCAACUGAGCUCAGCCUUGCAUCUUCAGCUACCUGCUGGACAGCCCUACUUGCAUGUCCCACAGACAUGAUGUGUGCAAAACAACUCAUUUCCCCUCUAAACCAGCUCUCCCAACUCUAAACCUCAAUGUAAAAUGGUGCCGAAACCCAGGGGUCCAAAUAUUAAUUGGACUCUGCUGAUCUUCUCCUGGCCCUUGGGAUAACAGAAAUUCCAUUUUCAACUCUUAGGAUACCAGCCCCUACCCUUAGUGUCCCCAAGGGGUUUACCUCUCUCCGUACUGGACUCAGCUGGCACUGCAUCCUACACCUUCAUACUGAACUCCCCUCCUCAACCUAUUCUCAGCCCUUGAAAUGGACUCUUCGCCCCUGUUCAGCAGGAAGCAGCUACUGAAGACAAUGACCUUUGCCCCUUUUUCCUAAUGUUUGAGUGGGGAUAUAAUGUGGGGGCAAAGAGUGCCCUAGAAUUGAAAAUAAUAUUAACGGUUAUGUUCCCAGACCCCUGAGGGGGUUUGAGGCUCAUUCUGUAGCCCAUCUUAUACUUUGAGAUCCUGGAACUUGAGAACUUCUCAAGUCCUUUUCCCCUUAUCUUGAAAUGCCAUACAACUUGUACCAAAAGAUUUGCCUUUGUCCCCCCUACCCUGUGUUCCUUAUCCUGUCAUUCAUCUUCCUCAUCCUGUGUCUCAACAAUUUUACCUUAUCUUGUCAACCAUCUUCCUUAUCUUGUUUGUUCUUAUCCUGUCCCUAAUCUCCAGCUCCUGUAUGAAUCUCUAAAAAUACAUCUUCUUCCUACAGGCUCUAUAGUUUUCUGUCUGUAUAAGCCUGGGUCUUUUCCUAUAUGGGUGCCAUUUGUUUAGCUCCUUGCUAACCUCAGGCCCAUGAAGCUUGGACAAAAUAAAGCUCCAAAAGGCUACAGAGAAGGUCUAAGUGAAUUCUUUCACACCUGAACCAGCUCUCCCAAGUCUGAAACUCAACAGUAUUUUCCUGCUAAUCGGUCUUAGUGAGAGUUUGUUAAAGGAAUAUUUAAAUUAUUAGUGCUGGUAGUAAUAAAUCUUGUUAAGAAAAUGUGGAGCCUGAAAUGACUCAAUUCCAGAGCAGGCCUCUUUAAGGACUAGGGUAGCCCAUCUAAUUUAUGUCUGUGUGUAUGGCAUGCUUAUUUCCUCAUACUGUCCAGGUUUAAUUUCUAGAUAAAACAAUAGAUGCUAGAACUGAAUUUUGUACUUUCAAUUUUAAGGAAUACAUUUUGCUGGCUUUUUAAUUUUUGUAAUAUAUACUAUCAAGCUACAUCUUUUGAGCCUAGUUUGAAGGGGAAAGUACCCCCAGAUCUAUGGCCCUUACAAGCCAGAUAAA